This is a long non-coding RNA of Arabidopsis lyrata subsp. lyrata, 424 nucleotides long. RefSeq lists it as uncharacterized. Lineage: Eukaryota; Viridiplantae; Streptophyta; Magnoliopsida; Brassicales; Brassicaceae. The transcript is spliced from 2 exons. The record is from RefSeq and is a predicted model, not a curated record.
AUUUGCAGGACCAGCUUAAUCAAUACAUGGAUAAGAGGAUAAACGGAGAUUUAAUCCACCUGAUCCAAUAGCUAGGAUGAAGCUUGAGUUUCUCUUAGGAUUCUCUAGUUGUAGUAGAUACCCUCCUGGUCGCCAAAUUCUGGUUUGCAAGUGAUUAAGCCCGUGAGCUACCAAAUAAAGCAAGCGUAGAAUACAUUGGUUUAGAAAAUUAAUAUCUCCCAAACCAAAAUUGGUAUUGACUUGAAUCCAAUUCGCCAUGAGUCCCUGUUGAGUCAAGAUUGUAGAAAAAUUGUCUUUGUAGCUUAACUCCUUCUGGUCUGGUCGUAAUCCUCCAAUAAGUAGAUGUUGGUCUCCAUCGGGUUCAUUGGAAGUCUACUGACUUGUAGCUUGAAUAUCUUCAUCAUGUGGAAAGCUUUUGAACCAA